Molecule: ribosomal RNA, 253 nt
Filed under: uncultured bacterium
Lineage: Bacteria
Description: partial 16S ribosomal RNA
Rfam family: Bacterial small subunit ribosomal RNA
Source: RNAcentral
UACGGAGGGUGCAAGCGUUGCUCGGAAUUAUUGGGCGUAAAGGGUAGGUAGGUGGUCUCAUUUGUCUGAGGUGAAAGCCUUGGGCUUAACCCAAGAAGGGCCUCAGAAACGGUGAGACUAGAGUACUGGAGAGGGUCGUGGAAUUCCCGGUGUAGCGGUGAAAUGCGCAGAUAUCGGGAAGAACACCCGUGGCGAAGGCGGCACUCUGGGACGGUACUGACGCUGAGACGCGAAAGCGUGGGGAGCGAACAGG